This 433-nucleotide ribosomal RNA is filed under the name uncultured bacterium. RNAcentral's name for it is "partial 16S ribosomal RNA". It matches the Rfam family "Bacterial small subunit ribosomal RNA", at positions 29 to 507 of the family's 1533-position model. The record is from RNAcentral.
AACGAACGCUUUCUUCCUUCCUAACACAUGCAAGUCGAACGAGACCUUCGGGUCUAGUGGCGCACGGGUGCGUAACGCGUGGGAACCUGCCCUUAGGUUCGGAAUAACUCCCCGAAAGGGGUGCUAAUACCGGAUAAUGUCUUCGGACCAAAGAUUUAUCGCCUUUGGAUGGGCCCGCGUUGGAUUAGCUAGUUGGAAGGGUAAAAGCCUACCAAGGCGACGAUCCAUAGCUGGUCUGAGAGGAUGAUCAGCCACACUGGGACUGAGACACGGCCCAGACUCCUACGGGAGGCAGCAGUGGGGAAUAUUGGACAAUGGGCGAAAGCCUGAUCCAGCAAUGCCGCGUGAGUGAUGAAGGCCUUAGGGUUGUAAAGCUCUUUUACCCGGGAUGAUAAUGACAGUACCGGGAGAAUAAGCUCCGGCUAACUCCGUG